Molecule: long non-coding RNA, 1000 nt
Filed under: Mus musculus (house mouse)
Lineage: Eukaryota; Metazoa; Chordata; Mammalia; Rodentia; Muridae
Description: long non-coding RNA chrX:159497752-159498752
Source: RNAcentral
AGUUUUGCUUUGUGGGGCUUUAGCAGAGUUUCAUUGUAUGGUUCUCCUUAUGAGCUUCAGCUGCUGCUAAAGCCCUUCCUUGACCUUCUCUACUAUCAUAGCCUGUGUGAUGCUGUCUGGGAACCCUACUCUAGGACACUCGAAUUCCCAGAGAUGGAGCACAGAGACAUUUAGAUGUCUCUUUCUAUAAAAAUCUUCUAUUUACCCACACUCUAGUUAAACGUGUACUACUCAACCUGGCUGCUUCUCUCCCUGUCUUUUGUGUGUGUGUAUGGGGUGAGGGAAAUCUAGCUACUUUCUCCCCGUCUCAGGAUUCUGUUAUUUUAUUAUUAAGCUCCAUCAUCUGCAGAGCAUUACUCUCCUUUACUGUUUAGGGGUUGAAGAAAGGUUUGGUUGAAUGAAUAAGUAAAUAGUGGCAAUUAUUUCUUUUCCCUUAUGGGAGCUGAAUCUAGCAAGGACCCUUUCAUGUCACCCCUUUAAAAUCGCCAAAUUGUUGCUCCAAACCAUUGAAUGGCUUUUCAGCUGAAUGAAUCAAGUAACAUACAGGUGGCUAUUUUCAUGGUUUUGCUGUUGUUUUUCUAUUAGAUCUUGGAAUUUUCUUUUGUUUGCUCCUGCAUUUGACUAACUGUAAUAAAAAAAAAGAGUCAGUGCUUUGAAAGGGGGCCCCAAGUUGGUCCCAGUAUGUCACUUUAAUAGACUUUAAACAUUCAAAAGUCUGAACAAGGAAAAUGACACUAGAAUGUAUAACUCCAUGUAUGCCAUAUGCUAUAUUUAAAUGUUUCAUUUCUUGUGGUGAAAUGUAGCUUUAUUAUUAAAAUGACCUUUUCUUUGGAACUUUUUGUUUUGACUUGUACCUUAAAGCUUUUGAAAAGAUCCUUAAUUCUGAGAAUUACAAACAGAAGAUAGAAAGAAGUCUUAAAGCUGGUACAGUUAAAGAAUGUAUUAGUCUCAGAAGCUGUGUAUGUUUAUGUGAUAGAAUCUAAAUAAAAUACAGACAUCU